RNAcentral lists this ribosomal RNA (779 nucleotides) under uncultured bacterium. Its description in RNAcentral is "bacterial SSU rRNA". It matches the Rfam family "Bacterial small subunit ribosomal RNA", at positions 9 to 781 of the family's 1533-position model. The record is from RNAcentral.
GAGUUUGAUCCUGGCUCAGGAUGAACGCUAGCGACAGGCCUAACACAUGCAAGUCGAGGGGCAGCAUUUCUAGCUUGCUAGAAGAUGGCGACCGGCGCACGGGUGAGUAACGCGUAUGCAACCUACCUUAUACUGGGGGAUAGCCCAGAGAAAUCUGGAUUAAUACCGCAUAACAAUGUUUUAUCGCAUGGUAAGAUAUUUAAAACUCCGGUGGUAUAAGAUGGGCAUGCGUAGCAUUAGUUAGUUGGUGAGGUAACGGCUCACCAAGACAAUGAUGCUUAGGGGGUCUGAGAGGAUAGUCCCCCACACUGGUACUGAGACACGGACCAGACUCCUACGGGAGGCAGCAGUGAGGAAUAUUGGUCAAUGGACGAAAGUCUGAACCAGCCAUGUCGCGUGCAGGAUGACGGCCCUAUGGGUUGUAAACUGCUUUUUUACAGGAAUAAUUGUCGCUACGUGUAGUGAUUUGAAUGUACUGUAUGAAUAAGGAUCGGCUAACUCCGUGCCAGCAGCCGCGGUAAUACGGAGGAUUCGAGCGUUAUCCGGAUUUAUUGGGUUUAAAGGGUCCGUAGGCGGUCUUUUAAGUCAGUGGUGAAAUCCCAGAGCUCAACUCUGGAACUGCCAUUGAAACUGAAAGACUUGAAUAUGGUUGAGGUAGGCGGAAUACGUUAUGUAGCGGUGAAAUGCAUAGAUAUAACGUAGAACACCAAUUGCGAAGGCAGCUUACUAAACCAUUAUUGACGCUGAUGGACGAAAGCGUGGGGAGCGAACAGGAUUAG